AUAUUGCACAAUGGGCGAAAGCCUGAUGCAGCGACGCCGCGUGAGUGAAGAAGUAUUUCGGUAUGUAAAGCUCUAUCAGCAGGGAAGAAGGGCCCAUUAGGGAGAUGACGGUACCUGACUAAGAAGCCCCGGCUAACUACGUGCCAGCAGCCGCGGUA
RNAcentral lists this ribosomal RNA (158 nucleotides) under uncultured rumen bacterium. RNAcentral's name for it is "partial 16S ribosomal RNA". It matches the Rfam family "Bacterial small subunit ribosomal RNA", at positions 361 to 522 of the family's 1533-position model. The record is from RNAcentral.